This 329-nucleotide ribosomal RNA is filed under the name uncultured eukaryote. Its description in RNAcentral is "partial 18S ribosomal RNA". It matches the Rfam family "Eukaryotic small subunit ribosomal RNA", at positions 1470 to 1796 of the family's 1831-position model. The record is from RNAcentral.
CCCUUAGAUGUUCUGGGCCGCACGCGCGCUACACUGACGAUGGCAACGAGUUUUUCCUUCGCCGAAAGGUGUGGGUAAUCUUUUGAAACAUCGUCGUGCUGGGGAUAGAUCAUUGCAAUUUUUGAUCUUGAACGAGGAAUUCCUAGUAAGCGCGAGUCAUCAGCUCGCGUUGAUUACGUCCCUGCCCUUUGUACACACCGCCCGUCGCUACUACCGAUUGAAUGGUUUAGUGAGGACUCCUGAUUGGCGCCGCCGCCCCGGCAACGGAGCAGCGGACAGCCGAAAAGUUGUUCAAACUUGAUCAUUUAGAGGAAGUAAAAGUCGUAACA